RNAcentral lists this ribosomal RNA (245 nucleotides) under uncultured bacterium. Its description in RNAcentral is "partial 16S ribosomal RNA". It matches the Rfam family "Bacterial small subunit ribosomal RNA", at positions 524 to 768 of the family's 1533-position model. The record is from RNAcentral.
CACGAACCGUACAAACGUUAUUCGGAAUUACUGGGCUUAAAGGGUGCGUAGGCGGCCCGGAAAGUUGGAUGUGAAAUACCUCGGCUUAACCGAGGAAUUGCGUUCAAAACUACCGGGCUCGAGGAAGACAGAGGUGAGUGGAACUUAGGGUGGAGCGGUGAAAUGCGUUGAUAUCCUAAGGAACACCAGUGGCGAAAGCGACUCACUGGGUCUUUUCUGACGCUGAGGCACGAAAGCCAGGGGAG